CAGGUUGGCCGGAUGGACGCGCGACUUCGGUCGCGAGGAAAGUCCGCACACCACAGGGCAGCACGCCGGGUAACGCCCGGAAGCGUGUAAACGCUUGGAACAGGGCCACAGAAAACAGACCGCUCCCUUCGGGGAGUAAGGGUGAAAAGGUGGUGUAAGAGACCACCGGCAGGCGCCGUAAUGCGUCUGGCCAGGCAACCCCCGUGCGGUGCAAGGUCAAGCAGGAGAGAAGCCUUCGGGCGGGAAGCACCCGUUUCCCAACCAUCUCCGGGUAGACCGCUGGAGCUUUGGGGUAACCCUCAGCCUAGAUAGAUGUCCAUCCAGGCGGGAUUCCCGCUGGACAGGAUGCGGCUUAUAGGCCAACCUGAUUU
RNAcentral lists this RNase P RNA (371 nucleotides) under Chloroflexota bacterium. RNAcentral describes it as "Chloroflexi bacterium RNase P RNA component class A". It matches the Rfam family "Bacterial RNase P class A". From Rfam's summary of the family: Ribonuclease P (RNase P) is a ubiquitous endoribonuclease, found in archaea, bacteria and eukarya as well as chloroplasts and mitochondria. Its best characterised activity is the generation of mature 5'-ends of tRNAs by cleaving the 5'-leader elements of precursor-tRNAs. Cellular RNase Ps are ribonucleoproteins. Lineage: Bacteria; Bacillati; Chloroflexota. The record is from RNAcentral.